This is a long non-coding RNA of Entelurus aequoreus (snake pipefish), 351 nucleotides long. RefSeq lists it as uncharacterized. Lineage: Eukaryota; Metazoa; Chordata; Actinopteri; Syngnathiformes; Syngnathidae. The transcript has 4 exons. The record is from RefSeq and is a predicted model, not a curated record.
GACACGUUGCUCACAGCCUCUCUUCUGGCCCCUGGAGAGAGCUUGGUGUGAAUGAUGUCCAGGGCCUAACAAAGCAAGGGUGCUCCAACAACUGUGGCGUGUUUGUUUUGAUGGAAAACAUGCUGCAAAUGAGGAGAUGGUGGUGUCUCGCUCUCCUGCAGAACUUCCCCAUGCCGUCUGAAGAAGACCGAUUGCAGGACAGAAAACGGCGACGAGUGCAAGGAGGGCUACAGGUGAGAGGUCAUGUGAUUAAUUAGUCUUGUAGUCAACUAUUGCUAGACUAAAGCGUAAUUCCUCCACUUAUUUCAAUUACCUUAGUUUUACAUCUUGCAUUGUUAUUGUGCCUAUAAG